GGACAUUAGGGCAGUCUGGUUUCCACAUCUAUCACCCCAUUUAUUGCCAAGAUUGACUCAGCAGACUUGGGUGGCUAAGCAAGUGUCCCCUUCCUCCUUCACCACACCAUUUACACCCCUCCUGAAGCUGCAUAGUUGGUUGAAGUGGAUGACUUCUCCAUAGAGUACCAUUCUGAGGUCAAGGAGGUAUGAGUAUCUGUGCUCCAGUGCUAGAACCUCCAAACAAGCUCUUAAGUUCUUGGAUUUUUGAGAUUAAAGUUUCUGACCCAUUUUCUUUUUGCUUUAAGA
RNAcentral lists this small nuclear RNA (288 nucleotides) under Nannospalax galili (Upper Galilee mountains blind mole rat). RNAcentral's name for it is "7SK RNA (ENSNGAG00000006486.1)". It matches the Rfam family "7SK RNA". From Rfam's summary of the family: 7SK was discovered as an abundant small nuclear RNA in the mid-70s but a possible function has only recently been suggested. Two independent studies have found that 7SK RNA binds the CDK9/cyclin T complex (known as elongation factor P-TEFb). P-TEFb activates transcription by phosphorylating the C-terminal domain of RNA polymerase II. Lineage: Eukaryota; Metazoa; Chordata; Mammalia; Rodentia; Spalacidae. The record is from RNAcentral.